Molecule: non-coding RNA, 24 nt
Filed under: Drosophila erecta
Lineage: Eukaryota; Metazoa; Arthropoda; Insecta; Diptera; Drosophilidae
Also listed under: 4 other names
Source: RNAcentral
GCGUCAAAAUGACUGUGAGCUAUG